CAAGCUUACUCCCCAACAGGUUGCCGAAAUAUCAAGUACGUGCCUUUUUUAAAAAAAAAAUUCUUAGAUUAUUGUUGUUAUGAAUCACUAUUUGUCUUUUGUUAAGAAUUGGGAUUAGCAUGCAAACUUGAAAAAUUGAAGUUAUUAUACUAAGAAUCAGGAUUGGCGUGUAAUAUUAUAAGGGUAAAGACAAGAAAAAGGAAAGUAAAACAAAUAGCGAAAAGAAAAUGCAUCAAUAACCUUUGGUUUAUCCAAAAUAACAUGGUUUUUUAGGGUUUCUCGAUAAAUCAUGCAUUUACUUAUUGUCUGAAUGAAUAAUGUUCUAUAAGUAAAAUGAAGAUACCAAUGUGGAAAUUACUCAAUUUUAUUCAAUUUAUCAUGCAAUCCAUCGAGGAAGAAUGAUCUCCAGAAGAACAUCCGAGUUGUUAGAAUUUGAGACUUGGAACUUGAAAAUUUUAUCUUCGGUGAUGUUGCUAUCUCUUUUUGGGUUAACUAGACUAAAAACCCAUGGCCAAGAUUUUAAAUUGGUACUCAAACUUCAAUCCAUUCUAAUUGAGUCAUCAAAAUAUCAAUAUACUAUCAAUUAGAUUUUUCUUUCAGACUAGAAAUUAGUACACGCAAAUCAAAUUUUAAACAAGGGUCUAUUUAUUGCAUGGACAACUUAAAUUUUGAUGUGUUAAAAAUAGCCCUUUUAAAUUUUAACAAUGCUGUUUAUAUUUUUCUAGUGUAUUACAUACAAGUUGCUCAUGCAGUAGGUUCAAAUAUGUUUAAAAUUGAUCUCCAUGUGAAAUCUAAGCUAGAAUCUAAUCUCCAAAAUGACGACAAGGCGAAUAGAAAACUUGAUUGAUAUGAUAUUGGUACUUCGAAAAUUCAAUUAGAACUUUUCAAAGUUCAAGGACCAAUUUAAAACUUUUUUCUUUCAUGGAGCAUCCUCGCAAGUUGCAACAAUGCAGAUCUCAAUGCAUAACAAAAAAUGCUUUUUAGUUUUCUUUUAAAGAUGAGAGGAGGAAAGAAUUAGUCGGUGGAUGCAGGAUUUUCUGAAAUUAACAAAUUGACUUUUUACACCACCCAUCUCUUGUGAAUUGCUAAUGCAUCUUCACUAAAAAAUGUUUCCAUUUCUAAAUGUUUCUAUCUUUCCUCCCCCUUCCUUUUUUGGUUCAACUCUUGGUUUAAGCAUAUUGUGAUGGGAUAACAUGCUUGUUUUAUUAUAUAGGCUAUGGACCUUUCACUCUUUUAGGCAAUGAUGCUUCAAUCCUUAAAAGAUUUAGAUUCUGUGUAGUGGGAAAUAUGUUUGAAGAAAUUAGAAACCACUUUGCUAGAUAUUUAUGUGUUAAUAGUAACAACAAUCAGGUAUAAGGUUGAAAGAGAAUGCUUGACAUCGAAAUAGAAGAGGAAAAACAAAUUUGGAAAGAAGAGUUAGGUAUAAAUGAUGAUACAUCAAUUUAUUAUUGUGAUUUGGAUGAUUUCUAGGUAGGUUUUGUUGUGAGAAGGAACCAUGGAAAACUGGUAUAGCAUCAGACUAGGCCAUUUUAGUUAAAUGUUGCAUAUACUUUUUUCUUUCCAUGAACACAAAAGUUGUUCUUACAUGUUACCGUGUUUGAACAUUUGGUAAGUAAUUUGGUUUGUAAUUGUACGUGGCAGAACAACCUGGUGUUCUUCAAGUUGUCCCGAGCAGGACACUCCAGCUACAUUCUGGACCAGGCAAGCUGCACUAAGGCUCAAGAAACUCUUUUACCCUACUAAAAACAAAAUCCUAUGGAACAAUAGUCUCAUUGUAUAAAUAUGUUUGACACACUCUGUGCUAUGGGGUGUGCUACAUUAUACUAUUUGAAUCUAUGUUACAUAGACUUAUUUGCUUAUAGAUAUAAAUAUGAUGGGUUUAAGAUAAUAACAGGGUACUGAAUAUAUCAGUACAAUUUUUUCACACAUUCUACAGCCAUAUCGUGUUGGAGCUAUCUAUAAAAAUACAUUAAGACAUAUUUAGAAAAUGUUGCUACUCCCAAAUCGGAAGAUGAUUUUACUAUACUUGGCCCUUUACAAAGGCUUUUAGAAUUUACUACAUAAAACUACGCUCUGCCAUAACAGCAGCUCUAAAUUAGUUUUAGAGAUUUUAGGGUCCAGUGUUUUUUUUAAGUCAUAAACAAUAUUAAACAAAUAACUUUUCAAAUAAAUUUUGAAGUUAGAAAGCGCAUUUAAACCCAAAAUCAAAAUCAGUUUUUUCUAAUUUUUGUUUUUGACAAAAGCGUUUUUAAGAGUAAAAGAUAAUUUUAACCCUUAUAAAGUAUUUUAUAUUGGAUAUUGGAUAUGUAAAUAUUUUUCUAUUAAAAUUUAUUUUAAAUAUAUAAUAUUAUAUAUUUAAAUUUUUAUUAGUUAUAUUUUAAUAUUUAAAAUAUAGUUUAUAUUUUAAAUUAAAUUUUAUAAUUAAUUAAUAUUAAUUGUUUAAAAAUAGUUAAAAUUUAUUUUUUAUAUAUUAAAAUAUUAACAAUAAAUAUUAUAAAUUAUUUUUUAUAACAUUAUUAAAAUAUUAUAAUAUUAAAUAAUUUGAAUAUUAUUUAAAUCUAUAUUUAUUAUUUUAUAACACUAUAUUUAAAAUAUUUUAUUUCUUAAAAGCAUUUUUAUAACAAUAUUAAAUGCUUAAAUUUUACACUAAUUUUUUCAAAAAUGCCUUCUAAAAUUAUUUUUCGACGAGACUUUUUAAAAACGCAUCUCAAUAACAAAACAAUGUUAAGGUGGCCCCUAGAAUAAAUUAGGUAAACUCCAAUUCUCGGCUUCCUAUCCACAAAGCAAUUCAGAUAAUGUUCACCAUGAAGAAAAUUCCCUAUUAUAAUAGAAAAAAAAAUAGAAAUUAUUUUGGAUGAUAUCUAUUCAAUAAUAUUCUGUCUUUUUAAUGUAACACCAAAAUAAAAAAAUGCAUACAAAUAUAAUCUAUAAUCCAUAUAUAUAAUAUAUAAAAAAGAGACCUUUUCAGUUGAUAAAAAUACCUUUUAUUUUUAAUUUUAAAAUAGAGUUAUUAUUUGAAUAGAAUUUUAAAUAUAAAAUAUAAGAAAAAUAUUGUGAUAAUUUUUAUUUUAUUUUGAAAAAAAUGUGUCAAUUUUUAUUUAUGUAAAAUAAAAUUAUUACUUAAAUAGUAUUCGAUAAUUAGAUGUAUUCAAUCAAAUAGCAUAUAAAAAAAACUUACCAACAAAAAAAAGAGAUUAUUAGCAUUAAUAAAUGCAUAUAUAUAUAUCAAAGAAUGAAACAUUACUUUAAUGAUUAUUCAAAUUGGUGAUAUUUAACCAUAUUCAAACACAAUGGCUUUAAGGAAUAAUUAAAGACUAUCAAAUUGAUGACGAGGUACUAUAAUAUUAUGAUAUUAUUUUUUAAAAUUUUAUAUAAGUUAUUUACAUUACGUGAAGUAGGCACUCAUAAAACCGUUCUUCUUUUUUCGGAGGGUUUAUUUUAAAGAAAGUCAAAUUUUAAUAAUUAUUUUUAAUCACUAUUAUUAAAUGUAUUUAUCAAUUAGUAUAAAUAUAUUUCCUAUUUAUCAUGAACUAUUAUUAUAGUUGUUGUAUUUUGCUUUAUCUAUUUUUUUAAUUUUUUAAAUUAAUAUUAUAGUUUAUUUUCAAGUUCUAAAUUUGUAUAUUUUUGAAAAAAAUGAGAGAACUUAUCAUUGUCAAUAAUUAAAAUCAUAUACUAAUUAGUAUAUCAAAAAACAUGGGCUUGUUGUUUAUUAUAUUAUUGAAUUUUCCAUUUUAAAUAUUUUUAAACAAUUUUAAUCAAUUUCACAUAAAAUUUGAAAUCUCCUUUAGCAAUAAAAUUAAAAGUUUUAAUAAUGAAAAGAUCUUAUUGAUAUAAUCUCGAUAGUUUAAGAUCUAAUUAAAAUAUAUUAAAAUUUAAAAAUUAAUGUAAAAUGAAAGUUAUAAUUUGAGGAUAUCAUUUCAUCACUUUCAUUCUUAAGUCUGGGAUAAACUUUUUUAUCUUUUAAUUUUAUUUGAAAAGUAAAAAAAUGAAAACUUAGAGAGAAAGAUAAUCCUCUUUAUAACAACCACUUGCUAUAAUAGUCAAAUUUUUAGAAAAAAUAAUCUUUGAACUUUUAUAUUUUAUUUUAAUCUUCUAGAAUAAAUUUUCACUUAUUAAAGUAAUAAUCAUGAUUGUGAAGUACAUUCUUUAUUAAAUUAGUUCUCUAUAAUAAUAUAUUGUCUAAAAUUUUAAAUAAAAGUAUAAUUAUUUCAUAUAAGCAAACCUAUUUAUUAUACUUAUUAAAUAAAAAUAGUAUUAAUUAAAAUAUUAUUUCAAUAAAACAUUUAAAUUUUACAUGAAAAAAUAUAUUAAUUCUAUUUUAUUAAAUGAAAUAAUCUUAAAUUAAAUAUAUCAAUUUAAUAAACUAUCAAGUUCCAUAAUUAAAUAUUUACUAUGAAUUUAAAAUUUUGUAAAUUUAUAACUUGAUUAUUUAAAUUUAAUAAUUCGUGAUAAAUUAAUUAAUUUAAUAUGAUAACUUAUAUUGAUUAAUUAAAAUUAUGACUCAAUAGUCGUUUCGGAAGAAUGUAAAAUGAAAUAUGCAGGAGAACAAUUAUGCAUAAAAAUGUUUGAGAACGGAGAAAGGGAAGACUUGAUCGGAGAUCGGAAUACUAAAAAAAGUUCAUUUUAAGGACUUGGACUCUGGUGUGGAAAAUGAUAUGGUUGUGGACUCUAUUCCGGCGCAGGAAAUCUCUUGGAGGGACAAAGUUCUGGGUCGAGGGGCUCCUGACUCCAGUAGAGACGAGGAUUUUGAAUUUCUAGAUGGAAAUGUCGUGAGAACUACGGUUAAUGGUGUUCCCCCUAUCAACUUUUCCGAAAGGAGCCAACGAAUUCCCUUCCCUCCGACAGGAGCCAACGAAUUCCCUUCCCAGAUAUGGCGACCACGGUGGUUGUUAAAUUACUUGGCCGGAAUAUUUCUUACUCUAUUUUGCAUAAUAGGAACCACAGUCUCUAGAAGCCUUCACAACAGAUUCACAUAAUGGAUGUGGAAAAUUGUUAUUUCCUGAUAAAAUUUCAAAGUCAUGACGAUUAUGAGAGGGUUCUUACCUAGGGUCCAUGGAUUGUCCUUGGCCAAUAUCUCACGGUUCAACCGUGGACUGCAGAGUUUAAUCCUCUCCAAGCAUUUCCUAGCAGCACCAUCGUUUGGGUCAGAUUACCGGGGUCUCUUGGGGUUCCUCUAUAAGCGCCAAAUAUUAGAAGAAAUCGGAGGUCUGAUUGGGACGGUCACAAAGCUCGAUUUUCAAACGGACAAAGGUUCGAGGGGAAAUUUUGCAAGAAUGGUCGUGUGCAUUGAUUUGAUAAAACCUUUGGUAUCUCAGAUCUUGGUUAACAGGGCGGUGCAGAAGGUUGAGUUUGAAGCGUUGCUAUUUGUGUGUUUCUCUUGUGGAAGAUUCGGGCAUUCAAAUGCCACGUGCGUAGAAAUGGGAUAUUCACAAAAUGCUGGCGAUGGAAUGAACACAGCAAUGGAAAGCUUACUGGAGGUAGUCAAAGCGGUGGAGCCAUUGGAGCCUUUUGGUCCCUGGAUGAUCGUUGAGAGGAAGUCAAAGCAUAAUUCUAGCGCUCGCAUUAAUACUGAAACGAAAAUUGCCAUGAAUAACGCUCUGAAUCUGUUUGGGAUUUGGAAAGGCUGAGAUAAGGGAAAAAGAAGCAGAUGUUUCGGGGAUAACAUUUCAAAAAGGGAAAUUUCUCAAAGGGAUCAAUCAAAGGACUGCUUCUAGGGAUAAGGGAAAUACUGAGCUAAUAACCAAAACGGCAAAUAACUUUAGCGUGUUGGGAAAAGCAGAUGUGGACGGGCUGGACUUUUUGAUGGAAAUAGAGGCAGGUGGAUAGCGGGCUUAUGGUGGAGGGUCCGGGUAUGUCUAUUGAGUCACUGGUGGACCCACAAGGUUUUAGCAGCUGAUAUUAACGUGCAAAUCAAAGACACUGGGCUUGGCUUACCGAGUUUGUAUUUAUU
Molecule: long non-coding RNA, 5950 nt
Filed under: Gossypium barbadense (sea-island cotton)
Lineage: Eukaryota; Viridiplantae; Streptophyta; Magnoliopsida; Malvales; Malvaceae
Description: long non-coding RNA (GBAR_LNC012730)
Source: RNAcentral